RNAcentral lists this ribosomal RNA (484 nucleotides) under uncultured bacterium. Its description in RNAcentral is "partial 16S ribosomal RNA". It matches the Rfam family "Bacterial small subunit ribosomal RNA", at positions 30 to 507 of the family's 1533-position model. The record is from RNAcentral.
AUCGAACGCUGGCGGCAGGCCUAACACAUGCAAGUCGAGCGGAUGAAGGGAGCUUGCUCCUGGAUUCAGCGGCGGACGGGUGAGUAAUGCCUAGGAAUCUGCCUAGUAGUGGGGGAUAACGUCCGGAAACGGGCGCUAAUACCGCAUACGUCCUGAGGGAGAAAGUGGGGGAUCUUCGGACCUCACGCUAUCAGAUGAGCCUAGGUCGGAUUAGCUAGUUGGUGGGGUAAAGGCCUACCAAGGCGACGAUCCGUAACUGGUCUGAGAGGAUGAUCAGUCACACUGGAACUGAGACACGGUCCAGACUCCUACGGGAGGCAGCAGUGGGGAAUAUUGGACAAUGGGCGAAAGCCUGAUCCAGCCAUGCCGCGUGUGUGAAGAAGGUCUUCGGAUUGUAAAGCACUUUAAGUUGGGAGGAAGGGCAGUAAGUUAAUACCUUGCUGUUUUGACGUUACCAACAGAAUAAGCACCGGCUAACUUCGUG